ACGCUGACAGAAUGCUUAACACAUGCAAGUCAACUUGAAUUUGGGUUUUUAACUUAGAUUUGGGUGGCGGACGGGUGAGUAACGCGUAAAGAACUUGCCUCACAGCUAGGGACAACAUUUAGAAAUGAAUGCUAAUACCUGAUAUUAUGAUUUUAAGGCAUCUUAGAAUUAUGAAAGCUAUAAGCACUGUGAGAGAGCUUUGCGUCCCAUUAGCUAGUUGGAGAGGUAACAGCUCACCAAGGCGAUGAUGGGUAGCCGGCCUGAGAGGGUGAACGGCCACAAGGGGACUGAGACACGGCCCUUACUCCUACGGGAGGCAGCAGUGGGGAAUAUUGGACAAUGGACCGAGAGUCUGAUCCAGCAAUUCUGUGUGCACGAUGAAGUUUUUCGGAAUGUAAAGUGCUUUCAGUUGGGAAGAAAGAAAUGACGGUACCAACAGAAGAAGUGACGGCUAAAUACGUGCCAGCAGCCGCGGUAAUACGUAUGUCACGAGCGUUAUCCGGAUUUAUUGGGCGUAAAGCGCGUCUAGGUGGUUAUGUAAGUCUGAUGUGAAAAUGCAGGGCUCAACUCUGUAUUGCGUUGGAAACUGUAUAACUAGAGUACUGGAGAGGUAAGCGGAACUACAAGUGUAGAGGUGAAAUUCGUAGAUAUUUGUAGGAAUGCCGAUGGGGAAGCCAGCUUACUGGACAGAUACUGACGCUAAAGCGCGAAAGCGUGGGUAGCAAACAGGAUUAGAUACCCUGGUAGUCCACGCUGUAAACGAUGAUUACCAGGUGUUGGGGGUCGAACCUCAGCGCCCAAGCAAACGCGAUAAGUAAUCCGCCUGGGGAGUACGUACGCAAGUAUGAAACUCAAAGGAAUUGACGGGGACCCGCACAAGCGGUGGAGCAUGUGGUUUAAUUCG
RNAcentral lists this ribosomal RNA (904 nucleotides) under uncultured bacterium. RNAcentral's name for it is "bacterial SSU rRNA". It matches the Rfam family "Bacterial small subunit ribosomal RNA", at positions 33 to 953 of the family's 1533-position model. The record is from RNAcentral.